GCUGGGCAUGGUGGCACAUGCCUGUAAUCCCAGCUACUCGGGAGGCUGAGGCAGGAGAAUUGCUUGAACCCAGGAGGCAGAGGUUGUAGUGAGCCAAGAUCGUGCCACUGCACUCCAGUCUGGGCGACAAAGUGAGACGCUGUAUCAAAAAAAAAAAAAAAAAAAGAGGCAGGAUCUUGCUCUGUCAUCCAGGCUGGAGUGCAGUGUCACCUUCAUAGCUCACUGGAGCCUCAAACUCCUGGGCUCAAGUGAUUCUUCUAC
Molecule: long non-coding RNA, 261 nt
Filed under: Homo sapiens (human)
Lineage: Eukaryota; Metazoa; Chordata; Mammalia; Primates; Hominidae
Description: non-protein coding lnc-SFPQ-5:1
Source: RNAcentral